Molecule: ribosomal RNA, 965 nt
Filed under: Sarcophaga tuberosa
Lineage: Eukaryota; Metazoa; Arthropoda; Insecta; Diptera; Sarcophagidae
Description: eukaryotic LSU rRNA
Rfam family: Eukaryotic large subunit ribosomal RNA
Source: RNAcentral
GUCACUUUGUCUUUAUGGCAAAUGUGAGAUGCAGUGUAUGGAAUGUCAAAUUUCUAGUAUGAGAAAUUAACGAUUUAAGUCCUUCUUAAAUGAGGCCAUUUACCCAUAGAGGGUGCCAGGCCCGUAUAACGUUAAUGAUUACUAGAUGGCAUUUCCAAAGAGUCGUGUUGCUUGAUAGUGCAGCACUAAGUGGGUGGUAAACUCCAUCUAAAACUAAAUAUAACCAUGAGACCGAUAGUAAACAAGUACCGUGAGGGAAAGUUGAAAAGAACUCUGAAUAGAGAGUUAAAUAGUACGUGAAACUGCUUAGAGGUUAAGCCCGAUGAACCUGAAUAUCCAUUAUAGAAAAUUCAUCAUUAUGAUUUUAAUAUUAAUAAUAUUAUAAUAAUGGUGUGCAUUUUUUCUAUAACGGACAUUGUAAUCUAUUAACAUAAAUAUAUUUAUCAUAAGAUCAAUGAUGCGUAAGUUUAUUCAAAUUAUUUUGCUUGCAAUUUAACAUAGAAUAAAUGCUCUUGAUUUGAUAAAGUGUUGAUAGAUUUAUUGUAUAUAGUGCUUAAAUAUUUAUAUUUUAUAAUAGCAUAUUAAUCAUUGAUUUUUAUGUUUAUUAUAUGCACUUAUAUGAUUAACAAUGCGAAAGAUUCAGGAUACCUUCGGGACCCGUCUUGAAACACGGACCAAGGAGUCUAACAUAUUUGCAAGUUAUUGGGUAUCAAAACCUAAUAGCGAAAUUAACAUAACUUUAAUGGGAUUAGUUUUUAGAUUAUUUAUAGUCUAUUAAUUCAAUCCCGGGGCGUUCUAUAUAGUUAUGUAUAAUAAUAUUUAUAUUAUUUAUACCUCUAACUAGAGCGUACCUUGAGCAUAUAUGCUGUGACCCGAAAGAUGGUGAACUAUACUUGAUCAGGUUGAAGUCAGGGGAAACCCUGAUGGAAGACCGAAACAGUUCUGACGUGCAAAUCGAUUGUCAG